Long non-coding RNA from Nicotiana tabacum (common tobacco), 2889 nucleotides. RefSeq lists it as uncharacterized. The record is from RefSeq and is a predicted model, not a curated record. Lineage: Eukaryota; Viridiplantae; Streptophyta; Magnoliopsida; Solanales; Solanaceae.
CUUAAAUAAAUACGGAGUAAAAGAAGUUUCUGUCCUUGCGGGUCGUUCCCGUUCCCGCGUCCGCAGCUGUUCUCUCUCUCUCCGUACGUAUAUCGCUUCAAUUCGCGCGCCUGCCUCGUCAUCUUUCUUUCGGCUCCGGCACAUCGUUUUCUGAUACGCAGCCAUAACAAAAACGGAAGGCACAUGCUCGACCUUCGCCGCCGGUAACUCCACCACUGUUCCGCUCCUCGGAUGUAUUUUCUGUCCCGCUCCGUCCUCUAAAGCCUGGAUUACACCCAUCUCAAUGUGAUCCGACCCAAGGGUGUAUUCGGAUUACGAAUCCUAGCCGUCGAAAAUGGGGAGCAGGAUGAUUGCGAGGUGGUAAGGAAGGUUGAAGAGGGAAGUACAGUGAUGUAUUUGAGGAUCUCACAGUACGGAUAAUGAAAAAUGCGAUAUCAAAGUCCUUAAGGCUGUAAAGAAGAAAAAAGAUCAAGUGGGAGAUCAAGAUACCACAAAAUCUUUGUGCUGGACCAUGCUAAUUAUUAUCAGUGAUCAGCAAUCGAAUACCCCACGUUUCAUUUUGAAUAUUUGAAUCACAUAGAUUUUAAAGUGGUUUAUCCUACUCUUUCUCUCGUUGAUGUCAGAUAUUACAUCUGAGAAAUGCUGUUGAGAAGUUUUCUGUAUAUCUAGAUUUUAUGGCCUUUCAUACUACUAAUGCUGUGAAUUUUGUCUUUAUAUUUAUCUGGUUACUACUGAAGCUCGAGAUAUAUCACGACAGUUAGAUCAAUAUGAUACAGGAGGCUUCCUUUGAAUCUCUUCCUCUGGGGUGCUCUCUGAAGGUUGCUAGCUACAGAAUUGCCUUGUGUCAAAAGUUUUUCGAUGAGUGGACGUGGGAGAUGAGGUUCCACUGAUGCAAGGAACAAAGAGAAGGUUAUGAACAUAGAAGAGAUCAUUUGUGAUGGUUUUCGGCCUAAGUAUGUGAGCAUUUACUCGUGGAGUACUGCCUUCUGAUUUAGUUUGAGCAUUCCUUCAUCAUCAGAACACAGGUGUACCACUUAAAUGAAACUUCAAGCUCGACCUUUUGUAUUUACAGCAAUGUCUUUUCUUGCUUUCUUCAGAAUUCAAGACUAAAAGGAUCUGGUUUGUUGCUUACAUGUUUCUGGUUUCGUUGAUGUGGAUUACUCAUCUUUUUUUUCUUUCGGUUAUAAUUAGAUUAUUACAAUUCUCAUGUAUCUCAAAUCUGAUGGGGGGCUUUUACCCUCCUAGUCUCUCACUUCUGCUGAUAUUUAUAGGUCCUGAGCUUCGUGUUGAUUUACAAGACUUUGACUACUCAUUGGACUUGUGGAAUUUGGUUUCAUGUUUACCAAAUUGGUGAGCUACUACCUCUUCGGACCAUUUUCUUUAUUUUUGGUUACUUAUGCUGUGACCCGGAUGCGCAUGAGACCCAAUCUGGCGCAUAUAUUUCGUUUUCCACUUAUAUCGCCUUGUUCCAUGACUUGGCUACUUUAUGAUGCCAUUCAUGGUUGUAUGUCUCAAAUCAUCCAUGGAUGUCCAAUAAUGAUAUACAAAUGUCAGUAUUUAUCCGUGUAUGUUCUUUCACUUUGAUGCUAACUGGAAUGCGUUCUGCUAUAUAGACAUUCCGAAAAGAGCCUUUCUUCUAUGGACACGACAGUUAUAAUCAAUUUGUGAAGAAUGUGAAGGUAUGUAGAAUCUCCAUGAAAAGGCUUAUCAUUAUUUUGCCUAGAAAGGCCAGAGAUAAGAGGAUAGAAUUGUUUUUGCACUAUAAUGGUAUGCAUUCUUGGGGAUUAAGUUGCAUGUUAAGGAAGAACCAACUUAGGGUUAGUAUAUCCGGAUAGUGGAUCUUCAUGAACCAUGUGAAGUUGUGAUUAUGGCACUUUACUAGUUUACUGCUGACCUUUGUAGAAUAUUUAGCUACAGAACCACAUUGCUUUGAGAAAGCAUGGAAUAUGGUCUCAAAGUUGGGGAAGAGAAUUAAGCAAUCUAGAAAUAGAUAGACCCGUGGUUCAGAAUUGAAUCAUCUCUGGUUCAUUGCUCGAGUGCUUUUGUCCCGAAGCUAUUCAAUGAAACUAAUGGUCUCCCCCAUUAAAAUGUAUCCCACAAAGUUGGGACAUAUGUCAUACAUGAAACAUUGGGAAUUAGACCUGCUAUUAAUGUGGGCUUUCAAGUUUUUUUUUCCUUCCCGUUGCGGCUUGCAGAAGGCUAAGAGCAGACGAUUUAAUACCAUCUUCCAUCCUUUUCUUUUGGGUGUUGGUAUGUGUGCGCGCGCGCUGGGGAAUGGGGUUAUACUAGAGCAUUAAGUCUAUCUGGGACUUCAAGAAUCUUUGGACUUGAAUAAGAAUACAAAGCUGAAGGAUUUCUUUGAUCAGUAAGUUCUCAGGCCAUCGUCUUUAAUAGUUUUAUCUGUGUGCUUCAAUGAUGUCAGAUUUGAUUUCAUGUGUGUCCAUCAUUUGCAUUUUUUUGUUUAACUGUGGUCUUAAGCUAUAUAAUUACUAUGGUAAUCACAUCAAAAUCUUCAGAUAUGUAGCUCACUUAGCUACAUAAUAAAUAACCUGAGGUCUUCAGCUAUAUUAGUUGGUAAGAAAAUCAUAACAUAUGUAGCUCAUUUAGCCCCAUGAUAACUAUGGUGAUUUCUCAGAAAAAUGGAAGUUAACCUCAGGUAUUUUAUCAAAUUUGGCUGCUCAAUUAUUUAACUAUCCUAAGCUUACACAGAUGAAACAGGCUUUUGUGGUUGCUGAUUCUAUUGGUCGAUGAAAAAACCAACCAGAUCAGAUUACAGGGCAAUCUUAAUUUUAUGCUUUGCUAAGUCGGAAGUAUAUUAGUUGGUGCAAGAGAAGAUUAAGUGGGCGUUUGGACAUAAGCAUUGUAAAAUUCCAAAAAAAGGUGAAAAAA